CUCUCCCUACGGGACGCAGCAGUGGGGAAUAUUGCACAAUGGGCGAAAGCCUGAUGCAGCGACGCCGCGUGAGUGAAGAAGUAUUUCGGUAUGUAAAGCUCUAUCAGCAGGGAAGAAAAUGACGGUACCUGACUAAGAAGCCCCGGCUAACUACGUGCCAGCAGCCGCGGUAAUACGUAGGUGACAAGCGUUGUCCGGAUUUACUGGGUGUAAAGGGCGCGUAGGCGGACUGUCAAGUCAGUCGUGAAAUACCGGGGCUUAACCCCGGGGCUGCGAUUGAAACUGACAGCCUUGAGUAUCGGAGG
Molecule: ribosomal RNA, 305 nt
Filed under: uncultured bacterium
Lineage: Bacteria
Description: bacterial SSU rRNA
Rfam family: Bacterial small subunit ribosomal RNA
Source: RNAcentral